GCCGACGUAGCUCAGUGGAAGAGCAGCAGUUUCCGGAACUGAAGGUCGUGGGUUCGAAUCCCACCGCUGGCAC
Molecule: transfer RNA, 73 nt
Filed under: Microbacterium phage PauloDiaboli
Lineage: Duplodnaviria; Heunggongvirae; Uroviricota; Caudoviricetes
Also listed under: 1 other name
Description: tRNA-Arg
Rfam family: tRNA
About the family: Transfer RNA (tRNA) molecules are approximately 80 nucleotides in length.
Source: RNAcentral